AUGAACGCUGGCGGCGUGCCUAAUACAUGCCAGUCGAGCGAACAGACGAGGAGCUUGCUCCUCUGACGUUAGCGGCGGACGGGUGAGUAACACGUGGAUAACCUACCUAUAAGACUGGGAUAACUUCGGGAAACCGGAGCUAAUACCGGAUAAUAUAUUGAACCGCAUGGUUCAAUAGUGAAAGACGGUUUUGCUGUCACUUAUAGAUGGAUCCGCGCCGCAUUAGCUAGUUGGUAAGGUAACGGCUUACCAAGGCGACGAUGCGUAGCCGACCUGAGAGGGGGAUCGGCCACACCGGAACUGAGACACGGUCCAGACUCCUAAGGGAGGCAGCAGUAGGGAAUCUUCCGCAAUGGGCGAAAGCCUGACGGAGCAACGCCGCGUGAGUGAUGAAGGUCUUCGGAUCGUAAAACUCUGUUAUUAGGGAAGAACAAAUGUGUAAGUAACUAUGCACGUCUUGACGGUACCUAAUCAGAAAGCCACGGCUAACUACGUG
This 496-nucleotide ribosomal RNA is filed under the name uncultured bacterium. Its description in RNAcentral is "partial 16S ribosomal RNA". It matches the Rfam family "Bacterial small subunit ribosomal RNA", at positions 29 to 507 of the family's 1533-position model. The record is from RNAcentral.